CAGGUUAGGUGAUGUGCUCUUCCAGGAAGUCUUGAUAAUUACUCAGGUGUGAGCACUCAGGAUUUGUUGGCAGUCUGGGUGCGAGAAGAGUCCAGAAGUCUUCCAAAUAGCUUUUUAAAAAUAUUUUGGGAUUGUGCAUAUUUAUUUUGUCAACGACCAAGUGGUCAAGAGCUGGCCCUGAACUCGAAGCAGUGUAAAUUCAGAUGCAUAUCCCAGAUUAAACCAAGGAAUACUCUUUUAAAGAAGCAUUCUCUACACCCAGACUGGUUAGUCUUCUCUACACUCUGAUACUACUACCCUGGUGUGACCUGAGGCUCAGCCGACGUCAUGGCUAUCUCUCCUACCGUAACCCUCCACCUGGACGAUGGCGUGGUGCGUGGCCUGGACCUGCAGUCCUGUGCUGUCCAGCUGUGUAAAGGACAUGGUCACUGUGUGGCUCAGGGACAGGCCACCACCUGUGAGUGUAUCCUGGGGUACAGAGGAGAGUUCUGCCAUGAGAGUGUCAAUGAGGCAAUCGGUGUUCCACUCACCAUGGGGGUAGUGGCCUUUAUCGUUGGCAUCCUCAUCCUCUCCUUCCUCAUUGCGUUCAUCAGGCAGAGGGUCAAGGUCAAAAGGAAAGCUGCAGUCAAGGAUUCAAGUGGUUUAGAAAAAGACAUUCUGUAGCAUCAAGGUUUGGUUGACGGUCCAACAUCCGAGCACAUCCCCUUCAUCAGGCUUUAUCCCCGGUAUAAACAAUUAUAUACUGUAGUACUAUUUAUAUGAACUACAUGCGUUAGUGUUAACUACUAUACCAUAGCACUACUUAUAUAAACAACUAUGCUGUGGUACUAAUAGAAAUCCAUAUAUGGUGGGACGACUCGUGAAAAGUAAGGACUGUUUUUGGCGAUAGCUGUGUUCGAAUACUAACAAACUGUAUACUACAUACUUAAUAAGUGUAUAUUCCAUACUAUAUACUGUUUGUUGAUUUUUAGUAUACUGUAAAUGUCCGGUAUCCUUUCAGUUGAUUGUACUAGCGCUUUGCCUGUCUAUCUGUAGUUGAUGCUGUUGCUAUGCAACCUCUUGUUAGCAUAGCUAACAAAUUACUAGCUAGACGUUUUAUGACUUCAUUGAGAACCCACAACGGCUAUACCACUUAGCUAAGCCAAGAAUAAUCAAGCCAAUAAAUGUUGGGUAGUUAGCAUAUAGUUAAUAUACUGGCAAGUUUGUAUUAGUAACUAGCUAACAUACAGUACCUACAAGCAACUGCUGUAAUGAUACGCUAUGCAGUUCUAUGCUAACAAACUGUCAGCGAACGUAACGUGACUUUUUUGAAAAGUCGUUACUCCAGAGUGGUGCAGCGGUCUAAGGCACUGCAUCUCAGUGCUAAAGGUGCCACUACAGACCCUGGUUCGAUUCCAGGCUGUAUCACAACCGACCGUGAUUAGGAGUCCCAUAGGGCGGCGCACAAUUGGCCCAGGGUCGUUAGGGUUUGGCCGGGGUAGGCCGUCAUUUUAAAUAAGAAUUUGUUCUCAACUGACUUGCCGAGUUAAACCCCAAUAUAUAUAUAUAUAUUAAAAAUUACAUUUCUCAACAAUUUCCUUCCGUUUGAGCCUGGCCUGACUGGCUUACCUCCUUUAGAGACUGGUUAGUUGGAAACAUUUUACACAUUUUCUCCAAAACAUGACAGGAAUUUCAACGCUGGUAAACCAGUCAGUCCAACAGUGUUUUUCAUUGGCAACAGAAAGCAUCCGCUGGGGAUUGAGGUUUGAAAAUAAACAAACACUUCUAUACAGGCUGUAGUGUUCGUCAAAACAGGUUUCGUCUUGCAUACUUAGGAUUGCAUGACUAUCCCUAUUGUGCUGCUGAUUGCCUUAGAUCAAAGUGAAGUUUACUGUCCAUCAGAGCUUGGCCUUUUCAUUGGCUCCAUCCCUGGUACAUGUAUAAAUAAUGAUAUACUGUAGUACUAUUCAUAUAAACAACUAUAUACUGUAGUACUUUUAAUACGAGCAACUAAAUACUUUAGUACUAUUUAUAUUACCAACUAUAUACUGUAGUACUAUUCAUAUAAACUACAUGCGCUAGUACUACUAGUGUUAACUACUAUACAAUAGGACUUCUUAUAUAAACAAAUAUGCUGUGGUACUAAUAUAAAACCACAUUGUGGGACUACUCGUAUAAAGGACUGGUUUGUUUUUGGUUACGUCUUUAUACUGACUAACUUUUUUUCUGGGAAACCAAAGCCUCGACGAGCAGCAGCUUUUCUCACACUGAUCCUGGCCUGUCUAGUUUAUAUGGUGAUACAUGCUGUUAUGACUGAUUAGUGUGGUGAUGCACUCUGUUGCCUAACUUGUUUGUGUUGCUUGUGGCUGUAUUGCUUGUGGUUUGUUGCCUGACUCGUUUGUGCUGCUUGUGGCUGUGUUGCCUGUCUGGUUUGUGCUGCUUGUGGCUGUGUUGCCUGAUUGUUGCCUGACUGGUUUGUGGUAACUGAUUUUGUGUUGCCUGACUUAGUGUUGCCUGACUUAGUGUUAUCUCUGACUCAGUGACGAAUAGACCUACGCAAUGGCAACAUUCAGUUGCUCCAAAACAUGACAGGAAUUCCAACUGAGCUUUUCAUUGGCCACAAAGGUUUGAAAAUAUACACUGUAUACAAGUCUGGUCCCCUUGCUGAUAUAAUUUUAUCUUGUAACUGUAAACUCAAGUGAGUUUUUGUCUUAAUUUCAAGCUGCUCCAGUCUCUCCCUCUAGAGGUUGGUUACAACAUAAUGGAAGCCUGUCCAGUCAUGGACCUUCGGAUCAUACAACCGCCUUGUUAAUUCCAUGUGGAUAAAAUGCUAUUAUGUUCUUGAAUAAUUAUUGUAGACGCAUUGCAAACAAAAUAUUUUAUCAAUUGUAUUUUUUAAGCUUUGUUCUUGUAUCUGAAUGUUGGAUAUGCUUAAACCUGGGCAAAUUCACAUUAAAACAUUUUACUUCUGUGUGA
This is a long non-coding RNA of Oncorhynchus kisutch (coho salmon), 2955 nucleotides long. RefSeq lists it as uncharacterized. Lineage: Eukaryota; Metazoa; Chordata; Actinopteri; Salmoniformes; Salmonidae. The transcript has 5 exons. The record is from RefSeq and is a predicted model, not a curated record.